Molecule: ribosomal RNA, 437 nt
Filed under: Teminius insularis
Lineage: Eukaryota; Metazoa; Arthropoda; Arachnida; Araneae; Miturgidae
Description: partial 16S ribosomal RNA
Rfam family: Bacterial large subunit ribosomal RNA
Source: RNAcentral
UUUUAUUAGUACUUAUUAAUAAUAUGAUCUGCUCAAUGAUAUUUAAAUAGCCGCUAUUAAGUGCUAAGGUAGCAUAAUAACUUGUCUUUUAAUUGAGGACUAGAACAAACGAUCAAACAUUUUAAUUAUUCUCUCUUUUUUAAUUUUUUAAACUAUUUUAAAUGUAAAAAAACAUUUAUUUUUAAGAAAGACGACAAGACCCUAUUGAACUUUACUUCAGUUUAACUGGGGCAGUUAAUUAAUUAUUACUUUAAUUCUUUUUAUACAACAAAAGACCUAAUACAAUUAAUAAUAUAAUCAAGUUACCAUAGGGAUAACAGCAUAAUUAUUUUUUAAAGCCCUUAUUCAUAAAAUAGAUUAUGACCUCGAUGUUGAAUAAUAACCUUAUUAGGGCAAGACUUAAUAUAGGAAGUCUGUUCGACUUAUAAAAAAUUACA